GCUGAAGCCGCCGACCUCCCUUCUUGUUCGGUGGAAGUGCACGAACGGCCGGUGUUCGGUAGUUUUGUUUGAAUGUGUUAUACCCCAGAUAGGAAUCCCAUGAAGCCCAUUCGUAUGAAACUGACCGUAAAGACUUUGGCUCCAUGGCGAUUAAACUGUAUUCGUGUGGUCUGAGCGCCAUUCGCUUAAUAAUGUGCGCUCAGACCUGAGCUAUCU
Non-coding RNA from Pelobates cultripes (western spadefoot toad), 216 nucleotides. The record is from the annotation of a GenBank genome assembly. Lineage: Eukaryota; Metazoa; Chordata; Amphibia; Anura; Pelobatidae.